GGCCAUGUGGCGCAACUGAAUAGCGCACUUGAUUACGGCUCAAGAGGUUCUAGGUUUGAAUCCUAGCAUGGUCACCA
Molecule: transfer RNA, 77 nt
Filed under: Polaribacter butkevichii
Lineage: Bacteria; Pseudomonadati; Bacteroidota; Flavobacteriia; Flavobacteriales; Flavobacteriaceae
Also listed under: 5 other names
Description: tRNA-Arg
Rfam family: tRNA
About the family: Transfer RNA (tRNA) molecules are approximately 80 nucleotides in length. Their secondary structure includes four short double-helical elements and three loops (D, anti-codon, and T loops).
Source: RNAcentral